Molecule: ribosomal RNA, 504 nt
Filed under: uncultured bacterium
Lineage: Bacteria
Description: partial 16S ribosomal RNA
Rfam family: Bacterial small subunit ribosomal RNA
Source: RNAcentral
GAUGAACGCUAGCGGCAGGCCUAAUACAUGCAAGUCGGACGGGAUCCAUCGGUAGCUUGCUACCGAUGGUGAGAGUGGCGCACGGGUGCGUAACGCGUGAGCAACCUGCCCAUAUCAGGGGGAUAGCCCGGAGAAAUCCGGAUUAACACCGCAUGACACUGCUUUCCGGCAUCGGGAGGCGGGUAAAUAUUCAUCGGAUAUGGAUGGGCUCGCGUGACAUUAGCUAGUUGGUGGGGUGACGGCCCACCAAGGCGACGAUGUCUAGGGGCUCUGAGAGGAGAAUCCCCCACACUGGUACUGAGACACGGACCAGACUCCUACGGGAGGCAGCAGUAAGGAAUAUUGGUCAAUGGGGGCAACCCUGAACCAGCCAUGCCGCGUGCAGGACGACUGCCCUAUGGGUUGUAAACUGCUUUUGUUAGGGAAUAAACCCCGCUACGUGUAGCGGGCUGAAUGUACCUAAAGAAUAAGGAUCGGCUAACUCCGUGCCAGCCGCCGCAGUAA